Molecule: long non-coding RNA, 871 nt
Filed under: Gallus gallus (chicken)
Lineage: Eukaryota; Metazoa; Chordata; Aves; Galliformes; Phasianidae
Source: RNAcentral
GGCGGCGGCGGCGGCGGCUCUCGGGGCUGACGAACGAGGAGCGAAGGCCUCCAGGUCGGCAGGAGGGCAUUUAAAGCAAGCAAAAUAGUGCCAACGAAGAUCAUCUCAUCUCACCCGUGUCCAUGACUGCACAAAUAUCAGAUUUCCUUUGUUGUGCAGCUUUCAGGUUCUGUUCAAGGCAGGAUAUGAACUCUUCUAUUGAUUGUGAAGGUGGUUCAGGGUCUGCUGAAAAUUAAGUACAUUGUGUGCUACCGAGUCAGCUGUUUUGCCUCCAGACCGUCCAUCUCUCAGCUGGCAUCGAUUUCACAGAGAGCUGCUAAAACCUUUUUGCGUGAUCCUCAACAUUUCCUGAGAGAUUCAACUCUUCGGGGACUUCAAGACUCCAGUCUGACACGUGGGUUAUUGCAGCCCUGGUGCAGUGUAUCCAGAAAGCACUCUGACACAGCACCUGGGGACGGUCUGCCCCAGUCGGGGCGUUGGUCAGCCUCGCUUCUGGUGCAGUGCUUCUGCACAGCUCCUGGCUGCCUCCUGCAACAGCCUCCGCCCAAGCUGUAUUUCUUCCUUUUACUACAAAUUAGAAAUACAUAUUUACAAGCUCUAAUUAUAUUUCAAUGACUAAUCUGUUGAAGGAGUCACCGAAAAAAAAAAAAAAAGUAGAUUGAAGUUAUCAGGACAGAUCUUGGAUAGAGAAAGUACAGCUCGAUUUAUUUCGAAGCAUGAGGUAGAUGGGUUCAGUAACUCAUGGUGUAGAAAUGGACGGUGCUCUGACUUUGCUGUCAACAAGCUGCCUUCUCUUCUCUUGCUCUUUCUUCCACAUCUGUUUGUGUACUCAAACCCUUCCCGACGCUGCCUUUGCAUAUCUUACAUAAUU